This 253-nucleotide ribosomal RNA is filed under the name uncultured bacterium. Its description in RNAcentral is "partial 16S ribosomal RNA". It matches the Rfam family "Bacterial small subunit ribosomal RNA", at positions 524 to 776 of the family's 1533-position model. The record is from RNAcentral.
UACAGAGGUCUCGAGCGUUGUUCGGAUUCAUUGGGCGUAAAGGGUGCGUAGGUGGCGCUGUAAGUCGGGUGUGAAAUCCUGAGGCUUAACCUGGGAACUGCAUCUGAUACUGGAUGGCUUGAAUCCGGGAGAGGGAUGCAGAAUUCCAGGUGUAGCGGUGAAAUGCGUAGAUAUCUGGAGGAACACCGGUGGCGAAGGCGGCGUCCUGGACCAACACUGACACUGAGGAGCGAAAGCCAGGGGAGCAAACGGG